RNAcentral lists this ribosomal RNA (1551 nucleotides) under Staphylococcus aureus. RNAcentral describes it as "16S ribosomal RNA". It matches the Rfam family "Bacterial small subunit ribosomal RNA". Lineage: Bacteria; Bacillati; Bacillota; Bacilli; Caryophanales; Staphylococcaceae. The record is from RNAcentral.
UUAUGGAGAGUUUGAUCCUGGCUCAGGAUGAACGCUGGCGGCGUGCCUAAUACAUGCAAGUCGAGCGAACGGACGAGAAGCUUGCUUCUCUGAUGUUAGCGGCGGACGGGUGAGUAACACGUGGAUAACCUACCUAUAAGACUGGGAUAACUUCGGGAAACCGGAGCUAAUACCGGAUAAUAUUUUGAACCGCAUGGUUCAAAAGUGAAAGACGGUCUUGCUGUCACUUAUAGAUGGAUCCGCGCUGCAUUAGCUAGUUGGUAAGGUAACGGCUUACCAAGGCAACGAUGCAUAGCCGACCUGAGAGGGUGAUCGGCCACACUGGAACUGAGACACGGUCCAGACUCCUACGGGAGGCAGCAGUAGGGAAUCUUCCGCAAUGGGCGAAAGCCUGACGGAGCAACGCCGCGUGAGUGAUGAAGGUCUUCGGAUCGUAAAACUCUGUUAUUAGGGAAGAACAUAUGUGUAAGUAACUGUGCACAUCUUGACGGUACCUAAUCAGAAAGCCACGGCUAACUACGUGCCAGCAGCCGCGGUAAUACGUAGGUGGCAAGCGUUAUCCGGAAUUAUUGGGCGUAAAGCGCGCGUAGGCGGUUUUUUAAGUCUGAUGUGAAAGCCCACGGCUCAACCGUGGAGGGUCAUUGGAAACUGGAAAACUUGAGUGCAGAAGAGGAAAGUGGAAUUCCAUGUGUAGCGGUGAAAUGCGCAGAGAUAUGGAGGAACACCAGUGGCGAAGGCGACUUUCUGGUCUGUAACUGACGCUGAUGUGCGAAAGCGUGGGGAUCAAACAGGAUUAGAUACCCUGGUAGUCCACGCCGUAAACGAUGAGUGCUAAGUGUUAGGGGGUUUCCGCCCCUUAGUGCUGCAGCUAACGCAUUAAGCACUCCGCCUGGGGAGUACGACCGCAAGGUUGAAACUCAAAGGAAUUGACGGGGACCCGCACAAGCGGUGGAGCAUGUGGUUUAAUUCGAAGCAACGCGAAGAACCUUACCAAAUCUUGACAUCCUUUGACAACUCUAGAGAUAGAGCUUUCCCCUUCGGGGGACAAAGUGACAGGUGGUGCAUGGUUGUCGUCAGCUCGUGUCGUGAGAUGUUGGGUUAAGUCCCGCAACGAGCGCAACCCUUAAGCUUAGUUGCCAUCAUUAAGUUGGGCACUCUAAGUUGACUGCCGGUGACAAACCGGAGGAAGGUGGGGAUGACGUCAAAUCAUCAUGCCCCUUAUGAUUUGGGCUACACACGUGCUACAAUGGACAAUACAAAGGGCAGCGAAACCGCGAGGUCAAGCAAAUCCCAUAAAGUUGUUCUCAGUUCGGAUUGUAGUCUGCAACUCGACUACAUGAAGCUGGAAUCGCUAGUAAUCGUAGAUCAGCAUGCUACGGUGAAUACGUUCCCGGGUCUUGUACACACCGCCCGUCACACCACGAGAGUUUGUAACACCCGAAGCCGGUGGAGUAACCUUUUAGGAGCUAGCCGUCGAAGGUGGGACAAAUGAUUGGGGUGAAGUCGUAACAAGGUAGCCGUAUCGGAAGGUGCGGCUGGAUCACCUCCUUU